GGUGGAGUGAUUUGUCUGGUUAAUUCCGUUAACGAACGAGACCUUAACCUGCUAACUAGUUACUCUUAUGUAAAUAGGAGGCUAACUUCUUAGAGGGACUUUGUGUGCAAGCACAAGGAAGUUUGAGGCAAUAACAGGUCUGUGAUGCCCUUAGAUGUCCUGGGCCGCACGCGCGCUACACUGACAUAUGCAACAAGCUUUACUUUCCUGUCUCGGAAGAGUACGGGUAAUCUUGUAUAAUGUAUGUCGUGCUAGGGAUAGAUCUUUGGAAUUAUAGAUCUUGAACGAGGAAUUCCUAGUAAGCAUAAGUCAUCAGCUUGUGCUGAUUACGUCCCUGCCCUUUGUACACACCGCCCGUCGCUCCUACCGAUUUUGAGUGAUCCGGUGAACCUAAAGGACCGUAGUCGGGCUUGACCCGAUCGUGGGAAUAGAAGUAAACCUUAUCACUUAGAGGAAGGAGAAGUCGUAACAAGGUUUCCGUAGGUGAACCUGCGGAAGGAUCAUUAACACA
RNAcentral lists this ribosomal RNA (511 nucleotides) under Verrucomicrobiota bacterium. RNAcentral's name for it is "SSU rRNA". It matches the Rfam family "Eukaryotic small subunit ribosomal RNA", at positions 1300 to 1831 of the family's 1831-position model. Lineage: Bacteria; Pseudomonadati; Verrucomicrobiota. The record is from RNAcentral.